RNAcentral lists this ribosomal RNA (869 nucleotides) under uncultured archaeon. RNAcentral describes it as "bacterial SSU rRNA". It matches the Rfam family "Archaeal small subunit ribosomal RNA", at positions 1 to 876 of the family's 1478-position model. The record is from RNAcentral.
AUUUUCCGGUUGAUCCUGCCGGACCCGACUGCUAUCAGAGUGAGAUUAAGCCAUGCGAGUCAACGUAGCAAUACGUGGCACACGGCUCAGUAACACGUAGUCAACAUAACCCAAGGACGUGGAUAAACUCGGGAAACUGAGGCUAAACCGCGAUAGACCAAGAUUCCUGGAAUGGUUUUUGAUUAAAAUCUAUAUGGCCUUUGGAUUGGACUGCGACCGAUCAGGCUGUUGGUGAGGUAAUGGCCCACCAAACCUGUAACCGGUACGGGCUCUGAGAGGAGGAGCCCGGAGAUGGGUACUGAGACAAGGACCCAGGCCCUAUGGGGCGCAGCAGGCGCGAAACCUCUGCAAUAGGCGAAAGCCUGACAGGGUUAUUCUGAGUGACUUUCGCUAAGAAAGUCUUUUGACACCUCUAAAAAUGGUGUAGAAUAAGGGGUGGGCAAGUCUGGUGUCAGCCGCCGCGGUAAUACCAGCACCCCGAGUGGUCGGGACGAUUAUUGGGCCUAAAGCAUCCGUAGCCGGUUUUACAAGUCCUCCGUUAAAUCCAACUGCUUAACAGAUGGGCCGCGGAGGAUACUAUAAGACUAGGAGGCAGGAGAGGCAAGCGGUACUCAGUGGGUAGGGGUAAAAUCCGUUGAUCCAUUGAAGACCACCAGUGGCGAAGGCGGCUUGCCAGAAUGCGCUCGACGGUGAGGGAUGAAAGCUGGGGGAGCAAACCGGAUUAGAUACCCGGGUAGUCCCAGCUGUAAGCGAUGCAGACUCGGUGAUGGACUAGCUUCAUGCUAGUCCAGUGCCGCAGGGAAGCCGUUAAGUCUGCCGCCUGGGUAGUACGGUCGCAAGACUGAAACUUAAAGGAAUUGGCGGGAAUC